This 794-nucleotide ribosomal RNA is filed under the name uncultured Bacillota bacterium. RNAcentral's name for it is "bacterial SSU rRNA". It matches the Rfam family "Bacterial small subunit ribosomal RNA", at positions 75 to 848 of the family's 1533-position model. Lineage: Bacteria; Bacillati; Bacillota. The record is from RNAcentral.
CCCCGCAAGGGGCAACUGAGUGGCGAACGGGUGAGUAACACGUGGGUGACCUACCCUCGAGUGGGGGAUAACAUCCCGAAAGGGGUGCUAAUACCGCAUGACAUCCUGUCUUUGAACAGAUGGACAUUAAAGCCGGGGAUCGCAAGACCUGGCGCUCGUGGAGGGGCCCGCGCCCGAUUAGCUAGUUGGUGAGGUAACGGCUCACCAAGGCUUCGAUCGGUAUCCGGCCUGAGAGGGCGGACGGACACACUGGGACUGAGACACGGCCCAGACUCCUACGGGAGGCAGCAGUGGGGAAUUGUUCGCAAUGGGCGAAAGCCUGACGACGCAACGCCGCGUGGAGGACGAAGAUCUUCGGGUCGUAAACUCCUUUCGAUCGGGACGAAUGAUCGGUGAUCUAAUACAUCACCGGAAUGACGGUACCGAGAGAAGAAGCCCCGGCUAACUCCGUGCCAGCAGCCGCGGUAAUACGGGGGGGGCAAGCGUUGUUCGGAAUUACUGGGCGUAAAGGGCGCGUAGGCGGCCAUCUAAGUCAGACGUGAAAUCCCUCGGCUCAACCGAGGAACUGCGUCUGAUACUGGAAGGCUGGAAUCCGGGAGAGGGAUGUGGAAUUCCAGGUGUAGCGGUGAAAUGCGUAGAUAUCUGGAGGAACACCGGUGGCGAAGGCGGCAUCCUGGACCGGUAUUGACGCUGAGGCGCGGAAGCUAGGGGAGCAAACGGGAUUAGAUACCCCGGUAGUCCUAGCCCUAAACGAUGAGUGCUUGGUGUGGCGGGUAUCGAUCCCUGCCGUGCCG